CAGUGUGACUAUCUUGGUUCUUAGAGUGAGGUUCUUAGAGUGAUCUGGGUACCGCCAGAGGGCAGGAAUAGUAUUCCUAUUUAUGUAAAUAGGACAGUGUAGGUCAGAGAAGCCAGGAGACUUCCUCAAAGGUACACAGGUUGGUGGUGGAAAUAAGAACAGACUGCUGUGUGACCCAUAAGUCACUGGAGAUGACAGGAGUCCUCUCCUGGUCUGCGGCCAUGGAAGCCUUCAUCAAGCUGGGUUUCUUCUUCAGUUCUCAGAUUCACAUCGUUUGCUGGGGUGCCUCAAAGGGGAAGCCUGGUGUUCAAGGUCACUGGGAACAGCUUCUGAGAGAUGGCCUUGUGUCUGAAUUCUGGCCAAAGGGUCGUCAGUGGAAAUAUCCGGUGGCAGAUGUUGAGAACCUUUCUUCAUCCUGCUGCUUGGAAGGCAGAUGCUGCCACCGUGGACCAGGAGGUCAAGACCCCACCUGGGAGAGCAACAAGAUAGCAGAAGCUUGAGUUCUUGUCACUGGAACCACACGUGAAACUUGGGUCACUUCCUUGGAUUUGUAGAAGCCAUUGCCAUUUUUUUUUUCUUUUUGGUCUGUUUGUUGAUCACUCUGAGCUAACUCCUAACAAAGCAAGUGCAAUCAAUCUAACAGCAGCCUGUGUAGACUGUUUCUCACCCAGGCCAUUUUACUUAAGCCCCCGGAAGCAUGAUCUUUCACCAUUUCCCCCAGUUCCUUCUAGUCUGUGAUGCUGAUGUGUACAGCAGAAAGAGGAUGUGGAUGUGUAAUUACAUGAUUGGGUUCCCUGGUUGGCCGGCAGGAGCAAUAACAAGCCAACAGCCCUCAGAAGUCCGCGUCAUCCCUCUAGUACACACAUCAGAUUCAUCAUGUUCAUUAUUUGUCUAAAACACACAUUCCCCCCACAUGCCUCUUUCAGUCUUUCACCUCCAGGAUGGAGCUAAUUAAUCUGCAUGCAGCCCAGACUUCAUUACAGUUUUCUUCUUUGGAAUGUGCUUUUUUCUUACUCUAUGCCAUUGCCAAAAGAAGGGAGUGGGCUACCAGGGCCAUUGGCAGUGGACAUACGGAGUCCAGCCCUAGUUGGAUCCCCUACUAACUUUGGAGGUGACAUGCAAAUCAUUCUACAGUUUUGCUUUUUGUCUUUUCAUUUUCCCCACCCCCUGUCUCUUACUACAAGGUCUGCCUGCUCUAUUUAGUUUCUUCUAAAUUUACUAAUUUAACCUGAUUUAUCUCUGCCAGCUAUCUUGAUGCCUUUUUCUCUCCCUACAGAAAACAUUCCCGUCUAAAUUCUCCCUCUGAUGCACACUCAUGUUUGGUCUUGGGGACACCUGUUCUUCCCCACCCCCCACCACGAUCCACCUUCCAGCAUUAGGGUGCCAGCAAGCUUUCAAGGGUGUCAUCUAAGGGCAAUAAAAACAACUUUGAAAAGAUCCAGGCCCUUUCGUAAGACCACAGUCUGCCCAGAAACAAUCCUGUCUGUGACUUCCUUCUUUAAAAUGUUGGAUGUCAGAAGAAGGAAAAAGGACAAAAA
Molecule: non-coding RNA, 1538 nt
Organism: Microcebus murinus (gray mouse lemur)
Lineage: Eukaryota; Metazoa; Chordata; Mammalia; Primates; Cheirogaleidae
Source: RefSeq, a predicted model, not a curated record